This 334-nucleotide long non-coding RNA is filed under the name Bos taurus (domestic cattle). RNAcentral's name for it is "long non-coding RNA NONBTAT024445". Lineage: Eukaryota; Metazoa; Chordata; Mammalia; Artiodactyla; Bovidae. The record is from RNAcentral.
GAAACAGACUCUACAAUGUAGCACAGUUGAUUAACCUCAGCUCUUUCUUGAAAGCUUGAGAGCGUUAUGUAUCCUUUUUAAGUCUGCUUGUCAAGGAUUUAAUUUUAAUAUAUGCUUAAAGUUCUCAGAGCUUGUCAUCAGAAUAUUGAUUUACUAUUUUUCAGUGUAAUAAAAGCCAAACUAGAAAUGAGUUAUAAGUAUUGGGAAAGAAAAGGCUGUUUUCAUUAGUGCAGAUGAUAGUCCAAGUUGAAUGCUCGGGAAUCUGGACUUGAAAUUAAUAAGACAUUAGCAAAUUUCGCCACACAUGCAAAAACCAGUUUUUCCAUAUUCAAGC